Molecule: ribosomal RNA, 497 nt
Filed under: uncultured bacterium
Lineage: Bacteria
Description: partial 16S ribosomal RNA
Rfam family: Bacterial small subunit ribosomal RNA
Source: RNAcentral
GAUGAACGCUGGCGGCGUGCCUAAUACAUGCAAGUCGAGCGAACAGACGAGGAGCUUGCUCCUCUAACGUUAGCGGCGGACGGGUGAGUAACACGUGGAUAACCUACCUAUAAGACUGGGAUAACUUCGGGAAACCGGAGCUAAUACCGGAUAAUAUAUUGAACCUCAUGGUUCAAUAGUGAAAGACGGUUUUGCUGUCACUUGUAGAUGGAUCCGCUCCGCAUUAGCUAGUUGGUAAGGUAACAGCUUACCAAGGCAACGAUGCGUAGCCGACCUGAGAGGGUGAUCGGCCACACUGGAACUGAGACACGGUCCAGACUCCUACGGGAGGCAGCAGUAGGGAAUCUUCCGCAAUGGGGGAAAGCCGGACGGAGCAACGCCGCGGGAGUGAUGAAGGUCUUCGGAUCGUAAAACUCUGUUAUUAGGGAAGAACAAGUGUGUAAGGAACUAUGCACGUCUUGACGGUACCUAAUCAGAAAGCCACGGCUAACUACGUG